Molecule: non-coding RNA, 5327 nt
Organism: Paramuricea clavata
Lineage: Eukaryota; Metazoa; Cnidaria; Anthozoa; Malacalcyonacea; Plexauridae
Source: the annotation of a GenBank genome assembly
UGCAUGUGGUCGCUAUUUUCCCAAGAUCUCGAAGGAAAGAAGAGCGAAAUUUGAACUCCUAGUACGAAAUGGUUGUGUCGUGCUAAAGUACAUGUAAGUGAAAGCCAUACAUAUUAGUUGUAGAGCUGUUUAAUUUAAUUCGCAUUUGUUAUUGCUUCAUUCAAUAAUCAGUAUUAAAAGCGUGCCUUGAUCUCAUGCAUACAAUUACUUAGCUGGCCAUAAGAAUUUCUGUUUGCUUUAUAUGCUUCAAUUCCUUGAUACUAUUGCCUACAUUUCCUACAAUACUGUUUUAAAGUACCAACAGUUUAAUUUGCAAUCUCAUAGUUGCCUUAUCUUCAACUGUUUUAGCUCACAAAAUUUGAUGAGAAAGUUGAUCUAAGUUGUAGAGCUGUCAAAGACACGCGCCGGUAAGCAUAUUGUCUUUAUAAAUGUUGUUUGUUGUGUGUCGCUCGGUUUUUAAGCUUCUCCUUCCAAUAAGAAGCUUUAAUUGAACUCGCGAAACUUACAAUGCUAAAUGAGAACGAAACAAAAGACAUUACAACAAAGGCGAGUUAGAUAUGGGAUCGGCGAACGGACUCGAAGUCCCAACAAGGCAACUACCCCGCACAUAAAUUAUAACUAGAAAUUUACACUAAUAAGAAAACACAAAACUUCAAUAAAUGUUCUCUAAUACCACUGAACAGACAGCCCAGUCUCUCGCUCAGGUUGACUGCACAUACCAACGGCCACUUGAAACAAAUAAUUGAUGGAAAAUAUUUCGGAAAAUAAUCUUAACCCAUGCGCUAUAGUACUAACCCUAAUUCUGGUUUUAAGAUAAGGAUGCAUAUUGUACAGUCAAUCUGAGGAAGAGACCGGGAUGGUACAGUGUAGCAUUCUCCUCAGUAACACACCUUCGCUGCUUAUUAACUAACAACAGGAAGGGCUGCCAAUAGACCUACAAGAAGGACAUAUUGUCUUCCACGUACUUAAUCUGUCCGUAUCAAAAACGUUCCGUAACUUUAUAAAAUAAUGUUUAUAUAAACGAGAUUUAAACGCACUAAUGGAAGAUGAUUUGCGAAUUUCAAGUGGUAGAUUAUUCCAAAGCUUUACAACAUGAUUGAAGGAGUCUAUAAAUAAUGAAGUACGGAGACGGUGUACUGGAUACAGAUUUAAACUAUCAGUAGAGCUCCUGGUGCGACCACUUGAGACAUGCCGUAAUCUUCAAGCUGUACAUUAAAUGAACCGCUCAUAUACUUGUAAACACAGCAUAAGUCACGACACUCCAACCAGUAGGAAAUAGGAAGCAGCUGGUUGAGAGUAAUCAAGCGGGACUUGUAGUUGGGUCGGACAUGAUGAUCGUUGCUGCAGUUGAGGUGAAACGCGUAGCUCGCCUCUGCACAGUCUCCAAUAGUUUUAAGUCCGUUCUGCAUGACUGAGGAGCCCAGAUUUCGCUAGCAGAACUGAGGUGGGAGCGCACCAGUGAUUAGUACAUCGACCUUCUGUGGGCAGGCCCAGUUAAGGAAACGCCGAAGUGUCGUCGUAGGAAGCCAAGUGUCUAGUUUGCUUUGGCAACAACAGAAGAAAUUUGGAGGUCCCGCGUUAGCUUGUUGUUAACUAAGACCCCCAAGUCUUUUGAUGAGGGAACGACAGCGAGUGGCUGGUCAUUGAUGGUGUAGGGAUUGACGGUAGGGGAUUCCAGCAUACUACUUCGCUUUCUAGAUAUUCUUAAUACUUCGCAUUUGUUCUUGUUAAAAUAAAGUCCCCAAUCUUGAGACCAUAUGGAACGAUAACACUUUGUGGAAUUGUUGAAGUUCACAGGGCAUUUUGAGUUAGUUUUAGUGAUUUAAUCGAGUUUCCAACGGAAUUUUCCCACCGAAAGGCGAAUACGAGCGAGAAUCCACAUCAUACACAUCUUUUAAAAGGCUCAAUUAAGUUUAAGACGUUUUAAUUAACUAAAUGAUUGUGCUGGAGUCAGCAAUUAAGACCGAGCAUUCAAGAUUUACUGAUUAACGAGCAUUUUGUCUUUUUAGUUUACUGUUGAUUUUGAAAUGAAAAGUUGAUACGAAUUAUAUGAAGCCCUUUUAAAUGCUUUGAGUUUGUCAAACUUGAGUUGUACAGUAGUACUAAGUAUAAGAUUACAUUUGUACUGUUCCUAUAAUUAGACAUCUCUGAGUUAAUUGCAUUUUGGAUGCAACAAACGCUCGUGAGUUCGUCAAAUCGAUUGAAUUUUAUACACAUUAAUAAAGGAGCUGGGCGGAUAGGGACAAAGCCUAUAAUACGGACAAAUAUCAGUCAAGUCAGACCCUCUAAUCACUAACCGAAGUUUCUUAUAGACGUUUUGGAUAUCGUUGUGCAGUUUUGUCAGCUUCCUGACAAUGACAAUGACACUUACAGUUCCUUUCCUAUAUUUUACAGAUUAUUCAAAAUGCUUCGGUUACAAUUAAGAUGACCAUUCAUAUAUUACAUCUGACGGCGAGAUAUUCAGAACAACAAACCAAAAAAGCUGAUCAAUGAAGCAUGCAGUUACUAGGUUCAGAAGAUAGAAAUGGACAUCUGCUUAGGAAAAAAACAAUUGGAGUAAUUGUAUGACAGCAUUGACGUGGAAACCAUAAGAUACUCAGAACAACAGAAGAAGGGAGAUCAAUGAACGAGUAUAAGAUCAGAGCAUGGAUGUGGACAUACGUUUAGAAUGGAAAAUGACAAUAAUUGUGUAACACCAAUGACGUGAAAACGAGAAGGGCGAAGGAACGUGCAACGUCAAAGAACUACACGGAAAAAAACUGUAGAGAAAGAAAAUGGUUGGAGAUCUUGAAACAAAGCCAAACGUGUAGCCAGAUCGAACAGCGGGAGCUGUAGAAAUGUACCGCAGCGUAAUGGACAACGCAGCCGAAGAAGAUAGGUAAGACGUCCUAAUUAAGUCCAGUUUCUUAGUAAUAAUACUUGCAUGGCGUAUAAAGAAGGUUAUCCAAUUUGUAGUGCUUUUUUGUGUUAAAAUAUUGAAUUCACAAAUAUAAUUUUUUCCAUGCAAGUAUACACCAAAUACAAGUCGAUUCGAAACUACCAGUCGGGGCUAGACUGCGGUUUAGCACGUUUUGGUGGCACGAGCAAAAUGAAAAAACCCAUUUAAUGUUUAGAUAAGGCCGGUUAGCGUUGGGGUUGGAAAGAGAGUUAUUUCAUGCCAAAACAUGUACUUAUUAAACCAGCCAGCUGUAUUUAUCGAUGUCCACUGGUCACCUCCAAACAACAGUACUAACUUUACCGGGUAAAUAUCCCAUAUAGGUGAUGUGCAACCACUCCCUUGGGAUUCAAAGAAUUACAAAGCGAUUUUCGCCAUGUUGGAUAAAAUUUACUUUGAAAAACAAGCAAAAUCCUUUGUCAAAGUCACCAACAUGGCGACGGUGUUCGCCUGCGAGCCUGGAAAAAGUGAGGCGGAAUAUCACCAAACUUUGAUUUGUGACCAGUCUUUCGUCUGUGUGGCUUUAUCCAGCGUUUUGGUCUUUGCCAUUUAAUGAAAGUUUGCGAUUUCAGCACAAACGUAUUUAAAAACUAUACGUUUUUGAAGCUUAAUUUUUUAAAGAUUUUUGAGGAUUUUCAAAUCCUUCCGUUGCUCAUAAAAAUAUGUAAAAAUAUUAAAUCAAAUUCCUCAUUUGUGGUGUCCGAUGGAAUCCCUAAUGUAAUGGAUAUAAAUGGAUUAAUUUCGAUUAACCAGUGUGGAUUAUAACGGUCGGCAAUCGGCCAUUUGCUGAACAAAAACAACAAAUGGCCGAUCAACUUUAUUCUGGUCGGACAUUUUGACCGAUGAAAUAUAUACAAAGAUUCCAUUACUAAAAUUCGAUUACGAAGACCCAAUCAAAGUGCUCGGAGGCCGUACGCUUCCCGAAGACCCAGAACGGAUGAAGAAGAAUCGGAAAGUGAACUAUCUUUUUCACUAAGUGACUGGGAUACUUGGUUUGGCAACAGUGAUGAGUCAGACGAAUGAAUUCAAACAAUAUAAUCGAACAUUAAAUUCUUAAAAGUAGAACCUGUUGUGUUUAUGCACAGUACUUUACACAAACACGUUUAUGUUCCAGCCGUUAUGUUCUGUCUCCUAUAUAAAGAGUUAAGAUUGGCCAUUUCACUUAUGCAUACAGUUACGCCUCUUUUACUGUACACGAGCAAUAUUUUCUUUGCUAAGGUUAGCUGUCAAGCUGUGACAAGUUUUAUUUGCCUGUGUGUAUGGAGAAAUGUUGCAAGUACGUUUUUCUUUGACAAGUUUAUUUGUUGCCAUAUUUCUCCAUCACAUACCGGCAAAUAAAACUUGUUAAAGUAAAACUUGGCAAAGAAAAUUUGCUCGUAUAGACGAUCUAGGCUUUAAGGCCUAUACCGUCACCGAUAGGCGAGGAACUCUGCUUCUGAUUUAAAUUUUCUACCAUGUUUUGUAGCGAAAUGUUCUAAUAUAAAAAUUAACAGUUUUAUUAAGAUUUAAAACUCGCGCCGGCGCCGCGUCCUCGAAUCGAGUGUGGUGUGUCUGUGUGUGGCAGCGUACAUUUGUUCUAACUUUGUAGCUUUCUAUAUAGGACAUUUCCAUGUAAAUAGAGAUGUAUGACGUUGGUGAUUUCAUGUUUUGUAUUAACUUUCAUCGAUAUAAAUGUUUCUAAAGUUAUCUCAUGCAGUAUAGUGUAAAAAAAUAUUAAGAAAGUUGGCCGACCAUUCUUGGCAAAUGUCCGACCAACUGACCAGUUGAUCGGACAUUUGUCCGACCAAAGCGAAAUCGUUAUAACCCACACUGCGAUUAACAUUGACAGCAAUCAACAUCUAUGGAUAUAGAGCUGCAAAAAGGUUAAAGAAAAGACGACUUUCAGGUGCAGAUUAUUAGUUGUUAGCCUGCGAACAGGCAUUAUGUAAUUCGUACCCAAGACUGUAAUUGUGUGUGCAUGGUCAUUGUGUCAGUCUCUGGGUUCAAUCACUCGGACAAAUACUUCGGAAAAAACCUGGCGGUCUGAUUCAGUAUAUUUUCGCAUUCGAUCGAUUUCCUGUAAUUCAGAGUUUGCAUGAAUAAAAAUAGACUUUAAAAUAUACUUUAAAAAACGAUUAAAUUGUGGUUUAAAAUUCCUUUAGUCUCUGAAAAACGAUAGUACCCGUAAGAAGACAUGGUGGAAAUCGUGGUGGACGUUUCAUCUCAAGAACUUACGUGAAGACUACAAUGACGGUUGAAAUGUGCGGUUUUCAAACAUGCUCUCCCGUAGGAAGGUAAAAGCAUGCAAAUUCCUAGUAGCAGGUCUUACUUCAUGAAAAUAGUCCGCUACCAGUGACUAGGUUCUCUCUCUUGUGCUGACUAUGGUGGUUCAAAGUAUUAAAUAGAAAACAAG